RNAcentral lists this long non-coding RNA (1156 nucleotides) under Monodelphis domestica (gray short-tailed opossum). RNAcentral's name for it is "lncRNA (ENSMODG00000040657.1)". Lineage: Eukaryota; Metazoa; Chordata; Mammalia; Didelphimorphia; Didelphidae. The record is from RNAcentral.
GCCCAGCAUCCAGAAGGUCUGAUCUCUUUUAAAGAAGGAAGAGGAUGUCUGUCCCCGUUUAAACCACCCCGGAGCUCAAGGAGGUGGGAGGGGCCCUGGCUCCCAUCCCUGCAGCACACAUUCGGGCCACAAGGGGGCAACCAUCUCCUGCCAGGCCAGGGAGUGGCGCAGGAACGCGAAGCGCAGGCGCACAGUACCAAGGAGAGGACGGGGAAGUCGAGGAAAGGAGCGGCCGCCCGACCAAGCGGCUGCAGCCGCCACCGCCGCCGCCGCCGCCGCCGUCAUGGCGCAUGCUCAACUGAAUUUGCAGUCGAGCCGGUGGGGCGGAGGUUUUUAGGGUCGAGAGCCACGUUAGUCCAUGCACCGGCCCAGCGGGAGAAGAGAAAGAGCAAGAGAGCAGGGUUAUAGAAACUUUAUCUCCAAAACGUAAGUAUGAAAGUGGGGUUCUGGAAAACAGAGCCUUUUUUAUUUUUUAAACCCUUACCUCUCAUCUUGGAAUCAAUACUAUGUAUUGGUUCCAAGGCAGAAGAGUGGUAAGGGCUAGGUAAUGGGGGUCACACAGCUGGAAAGUAUCUGAGGCAAGAUUUGAACCUAGGACUUCCUGUCUCUAGGCCUGACUCUCAAUCCACUGAGCUACACAGCUGCCCCUAUCUUUUUCUAAUUACACACUGUUAAGCAUUAUUUCACCUUACAGUUGUGUGUCCCACACCUCAACCAAAUGGGCCUAUAAACAAUCUAUUUCCUGAAUAUUGCAUCUUUCACAUCUGGGCCUUUGCCCAGAUUAUCUCCCCAUAACUGGAAUCCAGUCCUUUGGACUCCCAACCUCUUAGAGUUUUUAGUUUCCUAAAAGGCUCAACUCAUAAGCUAUCUUGUACAGGAAACCUUUCUUGAUCACCUUACUCAUUACUUCCUCUUUCCUCAAAUUAUUUUGUAUUUAAUACCCCCUCAGUAGCUUGUAAACUCCUUAAGGGCAGGUAGUGUUUUAUCUUUUUUUUCAUAUAACUAAAGAUGGUUUUAAUUUCUCCAUCUGAGAAUUGCCUGUAAACAUCCUUUGACACUUGUCAACUGGAGAAUAUUUUUUAUUCUUAUAAAUUUGACUCAGUUCUCUAUAUAUUUAAGAAAUAAAGUCCUUGUCAGAGAUACUUGCUAUAAAAUA